Transfer RNA from Felis catus (domestic cat), 85 nucleotides. It matches the Rfam family "tRNA". Rfam says of the family: Transfer RNA (tRNA) molecules are approximately 80 nucleotides in length. Their secondary structure includes four short double-helical elements and three loops (D, anti-codon, and T loops). Lineage: Eukaryota; Metazoa; Chordata; Mammalia; Carnivora; Felidae. The record is from Rfam.
GCCUGGGUGGCUCAGUCGGUUGAGCGUCUGACUUUGGCUCAGGUCAUGAUCUCACUGUUCAUGAGUUCAAGCCCCACAUCGGGCU